UACGUAGGGUGCGAGCGUUAAUCGGAAUUACUGGGCGUAAAGCGUGCGCAGGCGGUUUGUUAAGUCUGAUGUGAAAGCCCCGGGCUCAACCUGGGAACUGCAUUGGAAACUAGCGGGCUGGAGUGUGGCAGAGGGGGGUGGAAUUCCACGUGUAGCAGUGAAAUGCGUAGAGAUGUGGAGGAACACCGAUGGCGAAGGCAGCCCCCUGGGCUAACACUGACGCUCAUGCACGAAAGCGUGGGGAGCAAACAGG
This 253-nucleotide ribosomal RNA is filed under the name uncultured bacterium. RNAcentral's name for it is "partial 16S ribosomal RNA". It matches the Rfam family "Bacterial small subunit ribosomal RNA", at positions 524 to 776 of the family's 1533-position model. The record is from RNAcentral.